Molecule: non-coding RNA, 391 nt
Organism: Odocoileus virginianus texanus
Lineage: Eukaryota; Metazoa; Chordata; Mammalia; Artiodactyla; Cervidae
Source: RefSeq, a predicted model, not a curated record
UUUUUCCUGGUCUCUACCCAAGAAAGAGUCCUCUUUUUCUGCAGUCCUGCCUGGGAUGAAAGCAGUGGUGUUCUUAGGGUAGAAGUAAUGGGUUCUUGAAGCUUUUUGCCUGUGAGCCAGCAGAGGAAAACCACACAUGUAUAUCCUAAAGAAGUGUUUUAAAGUGUCUACAGGAAGCAACAGAUUUUACAAUUUGAUGGAGGAGGGACUGUGGCCCAUCCUAAGAAGAGGCAGUAGGAUGAGAUACAUAUUUGUGAGGCCAUCUUUGAAAGUAUAACUGCAAACACCUGUGGAGGAAAUACUGUGUCCCACAAAAUAACCUGGCUGUCAAAUGAUCUAGUUCAUCUUUGUUACUUUAAAAAAAUUUUCAUGAAUGCUUUCCUUGAUCUGA